RNAcentral lists this transfer RNA (76 nucleotides) under Kistimonas scapharcae. RNAcentral describes it as "tRNA-Trp". It matches the Rfam family "tRNA". From Rfam's summary of the family: Transfer RNA (tRNA) molecules are approximately 80 nucleotides in length. The record is from RNAcentral. RNAcentral also lists the same sequence under 4 other names. Lineage: Bacteria; Pseudomonadati; Pseudomonadota; Gammaproteobacteria; Oceanospirillales; Endozoicomonadaceae.
AGGCCAAUAGCUCAAUUGGUAGAGCACCGGUCUCCAAAACCGGGGGUUGGGGGUUCGAUUCCCUCUUGGCCUGCCA